CUCAGAGUCUGCAUGGCAGUCACCAUUGUCUUGACUUGGGAAAGAAUCUGACCCCCGCAGGUAAGGGGAAGAGCCAGGGUCUACGCUCAUCUUCCGAAGGUGUUUUUCACCUCUCCAAGUCCCGGUCACUUCAUCUCUUAGAUGGGAGUUAAUUUAGUCAACAAAUAUUGAUUGCCAUGUUCCUAUGUGUUGGACACUGGGGUUUAGUGGUGAGCUAGAUGGACAUGGUCCCUGUUCUCACAAUGCUCUCUUUUAAAUAAGAGAGGUGAACAAGAAGUGAAUAAAUGAAUCUACGCACAGUGCGAUGGCUGUCAGGCAGAGAAAGGUGCUAUAAAGAAAUCCUUCAAUCAGGGGCUGCUGCUGAGCUUAUGAUGAUUUUUCUUCUAAAGGUCAGCAACUCAUUGGGGCUGAUGGCGUCCCUGCCCUGGGCAGACAGGCAGGACUUGCUCAUGAGUCUCUGUAUCACUCAGCUCCAGGAGACUCAGAAUCUCACCAGGACACGUCCAUCACUCUCUCAUAGCUGGUACUUGGAAAUGAAAGAGACUCGCAGUGCAGUCCCAAUCAAUGUCCGUCGGCCGUCUCUGUCGAUAACUGCCGGGCUGUCCAAUCUUUCCCCUGAUAGAAAGGCGCCUGGGGGUCAGCCUGAAGAAGCUCUGGAGGGAAGAGGCGGCUGUUUGAUUCAGAGCCUCCUCGCUGGGCUGGAAUUAACCUGGCUCUUUCUCUAAUGAAACUGACUCCAAGGGUCCCUGUGUGCUAGAGAUUCAAUGGCCCUUAGGAGAAGCAAUGAUGAGAGGUAAUAUUAAAGCAGUGUACACAUGCAGCCUCGAAUUCCUAACCACGCUGAUGAUGUUUUCAAGGUGCUUUGAGCCCUGUAGGAAGCAGCACCUGUCUGGCAUGAUGCUGAAUGCACAGUAGAAACAGUGAAUGCAGGGAGAGUAGACCCUGGGCUGCCUUUCCUAUCUACUGAUGAAGAGAUCAGGCCUUAAGAAGCUUAGUGACUUAACCACGAUGU
Molecule: long non-coding RNA, 1012 nt
Filed under: Homo sapiens (human)
Lineage: Eukaryota; Metazoa; Chordata; Mammalia; Primates; Hominidae
Description: non-protein coding lnc-ANKRD60-2:2
Source: RNAcentral